Molecule: transfer RNA, 77 nt
Filed under: Streptosporangium carneum
Lineage: Bacteria; Bacillati; Actinomycetota; Actinomycetes; Streptosporangiales; Streptosporangiaceae
Description: tRNA-Arg
Source: RNAcentral
UUCGCGUCGGGCCUCCUGGCGGGCGGCGCGCUUCUGGUGCGCCACAUGAAACGGCGUUAGGACCCGUCGGUGCGGUC